This 554-nucleotide ribosomal RNA is filed under the name Keqinozyma temnochilae. RNAcentral describes it as "eukaryotic LSU rRNA". It matches the Rfam family "Eukaryotic large subunit ribosomal RNA", at positions 40 to 648 of the family's 3401-position model. The record is from RNAcentral. Lineage: Eukaryota; Fungi; Ascomycota; Pichiomycetes; Serinales; Debaryomycetaceae.
AUAUCAAUAAGCGGAGGAAAAGAAACCAACAGGGAUUGCCUUAGUAACGGCGAGUGAAGCGGCAAUAGCUCAAAUUUGAAAUCUGGCGUCUUCGGCGUCCGAGUUGUAAUUUGAAGAAGGUAUCUUUGGUUUUGGCUCUUGUCUAUGUUCCUUGGAACAGGACGUCACAGAGGGUGAGAAUCCCGUGCGAUGAGAUGCCCAAUUCCAUGUAAAGUUCCUUCGACGAGUCGAGUUGUUUGGGAAUGCAGCUCUAAGUGGGUGGUAAAUUCCAUCUAAAGCUAAAUAUUGGCGAGAGACCGAUAGCGAACAAGUACAGUGAUGGAAAGAUGAAAAGAACUUUGAAAAGAGAGUGAAAAAGUACGUGAAAUUGUUGAAAGGGAAGGGCUUGAGAUCAGACUUGGCUUUGCCGGGCCAGCAUCGGUUUGGAUGGUAGGAUAAGAACAUUGGAAUGUGACAUGACUACGGUUAUGUGUUAUAGCCUUUGUUGAUACUGCCUGUCUAGACCGAGGACUGCGUCUUUUGACUAGGAUGCUGGCAUAAUGAUCUUAAGCCGC